GUCGCAAAGAGUUGGACAUGACUGAGCAACUGAACUGAACUGAACUGAAAAGGCAGUAAAAAAAAAAAAAUAUAUAUAUAUAUCUCUCUCUCUCUCUCUCUCUCUCUCUCUCCUAACAGUAGAGCAGCUCCUGGCACAGAGUGAGGACUCAGUAAAUGCAAUUAUUAUUUCGCUUUAUGUAUCUACAAAGCAGACCCCACUAGGAGCCCGACAUUCGUCACCUGCUUCAGUCUUCACAAGGGCUCCCUAAGGAAGGUAGAAGAAUGCUUUCCAUCACAGAGGAGAAGAGAGGCACAGAGAGGGUCGGAGGCUUCCCCAAUGUCACACAGCGGGUGCUGGUGGAGCUGGAUGUUUGGAACUGGGCGAAAGGGGUAGGCGGGCGGUCAGAGCCUGACAUCAUCACCGCCGGAUCUAGAGACCUCAUUUUGCUGGGAAGCCUGUGUGAGAGUCAGGCCUGCUCACUCUGCGCCUCAGCUGUGGACCCCUUCCAGGCCCAAGUUUCAGCCUCGCAGACCGAGUCAGGACAAAGAAGGGUGCCCUCGGUGGAGACUCUCAGCCCCUGCAUUUGGAUUGCUGCCCGGCCCCCUGCCCCUCCUCCUCCCACAAACAGUUGUGCUGACAUCUCAGGAAAGAAGGGCCUGAGUGGGGGCUUCAUGGAGCCCAUUGUACAGAUGGGGAAGCUAAGGCUCAGAGAUGUCAGUCCAGUGAUUAUAUGCCCUGCCCUGCCCUAUUUUCCGGAGUCAAAUAUUCAGAAAAAUAACCAAGUUGUCCAAGAGUGA
Molecule: long non-coding RNA, 779 nt
Filed under: Bos indicus x Bos taurus (hybrid cattle)
Lineage: Eukaryota; Metazoa; Chordata; Mammalia; Artiodactyla; Bovidae
Description: lncRNA (ENSBIXG00000014640.1)
Source: RNAcentral